RNAcentral lists this transfer RNA (76 nucleotides) under Saccharolobus islandicus Y.N.15.51. RNAcentral describes it as "Sulfolobus islandicus Y.N.15.51 tRNA-Gln". It matches the Rfam family "tRNA". Rfam says of the family: Transfer RNA (tRNA) molecules are approximately 80 nucleotides in length. Their secondary structure includes four short double-helical elements and three loops (D, anti-codon, and T loops). Lineage: Archaea; Thermoproteati; Thermoproteota; Thermoprotei; Sulfolobales; Sulfolobaceae. The record is from RNAcentral. RNAcentral also lists the same sequence under 6 other names.
AGCCGGGUAGUCUAGUGGUCAAGGAUCCAGGGCUUUGGCCCCUGGGACCAGGGUUCGAAUCCCUGCCCGGCUACCU